Branchiostoma floridae (Florida lancelet) is the source of this 2121-nucleotide long non-coding RNA. RefSeq lists it as uncharacterized. The transcript is spliced from 2 exons. The record is from RefSeq and is a predicted model, not a curated record. NCBI's taxonomy places the organism in Eukaryota, Metazoa, Chordata, Leptocardii, Amphioxiformes, Branchiostomatidae.
CUUUUUUAACAUUUCCUAUUGUGUGUUGAGAUAUUCACAAAAACGUAUUUGUCGUGUUUAUCUAUAAAUUGACAGCACAGUAUUAUUAGGUAUCUUUUGGACCCAAGAAGUCAACGAGGAAAAUAUCAAGAUGGACGUUGUCUGCGUAUACAGUUUUCAUUUUAUCAUUCGUGACUGUGUAUUCUGCUUUUUAGAAAUCUUUUGUUUCACUGAGACGUCAUUCUGAUGGCAUGGAAUUGCGCAAUCGCAUGCAAUACCAUGGGAAGCUAUUUUUGUAUAUGUGAUAAAAAGAUUAAGAAACCAGGGCAAGCAUCUUUAUUUUGCGUAAAUUUGCCAUGUUUUAGCUGUAUUGUGCAACAUCGCAACGACUGAAAACUUGUUGACUACGGUAGUCUAUGCUCAAACCACCUGGCAUAUCAAUCAGUCAGUCAAGGCAAGUCGGAGUUGCAUAAGAUUGCGUAAGUCUUUGCAAGUGCGACUAUGUAAUGGUGUAUUUUUCUACGUGUGUUUUACACAUGAUAAUAGCAUGCCCGCAGUCCCCGCCACGGCCAAUGGAAUGUUUACAGGAUAUGUCCAAUCUUUCAAGUUUGGUGUGAUUAUUCUUUUACGGGUUGGCCAGUUGUUUUAAUACAGGUUGACCGGUUGUUUAAUGCCCUUCUCCUCUUUCCUCGCUCCCCCUUUUCCGCUAUGGAAUAACCCAUGGUCGCUGGCCAAUGGGCUGCCUAGUAUUCAUAUUGCGUAAUGCAGAUGAAACGUAAACCAAGCUGAUUACGAGCACAGCAGUCAUUUCGCUGCCAGACAGAGGGGAGACAACACGGGUCUGGGACCGGUCUCUGAUGAUUAAUAGCAACUGCCCCCACGAAGUCAACGCACUCCCCUGCACUUCGGGGCUCAUCAUAAAGAUGUUUACGAAGUACAACUAUAAUAUUUGCAGUGGAAAGGAAACAUCUCAUCGUCAUGGACUUCUUAUUCUAUUUCUUAUCACUUUUAUUAUUCUUUUUUCAAAGGCAAAUCAACAUUUUGGAAUAUUUUGAAUAUUUCGUUGGGCUAAAGCGUUCAGGUACAGGUUGAUGUGUGUGUGUGUCUCUCUAUCCGCAAGGGACGUCGCUGAUGGCUUGCACUGGAAGACGAGCUGUAUCACUGAAGGGAAGGACAUUCGUAAGAAAAUUGCUACAAGGAGACCGAGACUGGAAGCCAUGCAAAACCUGAAACAACGUCGCCCGAAGGAGCAAGGCCAUGAGAGGGAAAUGCAAGACCGACAGCAGAGCUGCGUGCAGCCAAGCGAUUGCGCUGCUAUUGAUGGUAAAACUGAGUGCAGUUAGAGAAUUCAUGGACUGACAUACACGUGCUGUCUGCGUUAUUUGACUUAUACGAAUACGUGUUGUCUAUUCUAUUAGGUCAUAUUAAGGAAUGUAAAAAAAUACUUCAAUUGACCUAGAUGGAUAUACGAAUGGUCGACAUCACAACCAAACGUAUUUGAAAUCUUUAUUGACACGACAAAAGUACAGAGACUUUCGUGAGGAUUAUAACAAGUACUUACAGUGCAACUAAGCAGACGUAUAUGCAUAUUUACAGAUAUGAAUAAGUCAACAUAUUGUUCUAGCAUGUCAUUUACAUAAUUCGAACAUUGCCUGCAAAUUUCUUGAGUUACAAACAAACUCUUACCAACUCUACGCUUAAACACACGUCUGUGCAGCCGUUUACUUUUCGGGCCGGAACUCGGUGUAAUACAUAAAUGGGACCUUACAGGUAUUGUAUAUACAAGCUGUAUCAGUCUUUCACUCCGUCACUUACAAGAAGAUACAACGCAACGUUUGCUAGAAGUAAUUAGUCAGUGGUAUUGUACUGUGAUUGUUAUUCUUAGACGGUUAUUCGUUUGAUGACGUGAACUGCAACAGACUGAGAUGUACUAGUAACCAAUGUUUAGUGAUAUGAGCGGAGUUGUGUAGCUGUCUGUCAGGUAAGACAGAAUACAAAGACGAGAGAUUUCUACGGCAGUUCAGAAGAGCAGACAUUUGUCUGGUACUGAGACAGAUUGUGAAGACAGGAGAUUUCUAAGGUAAGAGAGUUCAGUUCAGGAGAGACAAUAUAGAGCUUCACCAAAGUGAGAGAGCAUUAUUA